GCAAGCAUUACAUUUUUAUUAUUAGAAAACAAAAAAUAAUAAUAAAAAUUCAAACCAAAAACCAAAUUGCCCACAACUUGGUUUGUUACAAAACAUUACAUAUCAUACAAGUACUUCUCAAAAAGUGGUUGUUCACUUGCAUCUAAACAAACAGCCAAAGACAUACUUCUAUCGUUGUUUGGACUCGGUAGAACAUAUAUGGUUCCCUCGUACAAUAUAACCGCGGGCCCCAUAAAAAUCGGCCGACCCCACCCGAAAUCUGCGUCAUGUACGGGAAGUCUGGUCCAGGCGUUUAUGUUUAGGUUCGGGCUAGCAAAGUAACUUGGUCCACGAAUAAGAGCCGAUAGGUCAGGUUGUAACUCGAGGUAGUCUAUAGCCGAUCUCAAAUACUCAUCGUCCAUUUUGGUUAAUGUGGUGUGAAUCAGCUUUGCAGCGUUCGACAAUGAUCCUGAUGUAAGAUCACCUGAUUUUGCAACUGGGGUGGCUGUGAAGACCACGUUCCCCAGGUAGCCUCGUGGGAGGUGGGGACUCAGUCUUGACCGUCCAUCUGUGGCUACGUAUAGUUUCGUCAGUUGGUCAUCUGGGAGCCCUCGAGCCUUGCACGCGCAUCGCCAUAGGUGAGCCGCUAGGAUCUCAUAUGUGCUAUGGUUGGGGCCACCGUCGCUCUUGGCUUUAGCUUUGAGGGUGUUGAGUUGGUCUAGUGUGAGUUUAAGCAUAGUGGUGGAGGAUUUAGAAGGAGAACCCGAUUUUCGGCCAACGGUGUUCAUGGUGGGAGGUGGGUGGUAUUCGACAUGGUCAUGGGUUGGGGUGGGUGGGUUGCGUGCACGUAGUAGUGUUCGGUCAAUGAAUGGUGGGAUGGCUACGGACAACCCACGAGCCACAUCAGACCAUGUGUUUAUGAAAUGGAGAGAGGAUAAACCGUCUGAUAACGUAUGGAAUACACCACAACCAAGACCGACUCCUCCGCAUUUGAAAUGAUACCUGAGCGAAAAACAACGGGUACGAAGAAAUGUCGCCGGAGUAAUCAACGCUAGGCGUAAGCAUCUGAAACUCCGGCGACGGAGUAAACUCUCCAAAAUCAUCCAAACACGAAUCCGAUUCCGCCUCAACGAACAAAACUCCUUCACCAUUACAAUUAAUCACAAUCCUACCACUCUCAUCUCUUCCCAACCGCCCGGCCAUCGGAUAAAACGGCACGAGCACGUCCGCAAGCGCCUUUUUCAUAACAUUCGAGUCGAAAAAGUUAGACGACCCGUUCGGCCUGUAGAAGUAAACGGUUAAAAUAUGAAUUCUUCCAACAACCAGAUCCAAGUUAGAGGUCCAUAGCUGGUUUGGAGCCUCUGCUAUGGGCUCUGAUGGAGGAAUGAUUGUUGAGUUUUUUAUUGUGAUGUUCAUCUUGAUGUUGUGAUCAGUUUUCAUGGUCAUAUUGUAAUAAGGGUGUAUGGUUGUAAUGAAGGGGAAAAGGGAAAUGGGUUUUU
RNAcentral lists this long non-coding RNA (1478 nucleotides) under Helianthus annuus (common sunflower). RNAcentral's name for it is "hypothetical non coding rna". The record is from RNAcentral. Lineage: Eukaryota; Viridiplantae; Streptophyta; Magnoliopsida; Asterales; Asteraceae.